This 494-nucleotide ribosomal RNA is filed under the name uncultured bacterium. RNAcentral's name for it is "partial 16S ribosomal RNA". It matches the Rfam family "Bacterial small subunit ribosomal RNA", at positions 29 to 505 of the family's 1533-position model. The record is from RNAcentral.
AUGAACGCUGGCGGCGUGCCUAAUCCCUGCAAGUCGCGCGAACAGACGAGGAGCUUGCUCCUCUGACGUUAGCGGCGGACGGGUGAGUAACACGUGGAUAACCUACCUAUAAGACUGGGAUAACUUCGGGAAACCGGAGCUAAUACCGGAUAAUAUAUUGAACCGCAUGGUUCAAUAGUGAAAGACGGUUUUGCUGUCACUUAUAGAUGGAUCCGCGCCGCAUUAGCUAGUUGGUAAGGUAACGGCUUACCAAGGCAACGAUGCGUAGCCGACCUGAGAGGGGGAUCGGCCACACUGGAACGGAGACACGGUCCAGACUCCUACGGGAGGCAGCAGUAGGGAAUCUGCCGCAAUGGGCGAAAGCCUGACGGAGCAACGCCGCGUGAGUGAUGAAGGUCUUCGGAUCGUAAAACUCUGUUAUUAGGGAAGAACAAAUGUGUAAGUAACUAUGCACGUCUUGACGGUACCUAAUCAGAAGGCCACGGCUAACUACG